UGAGGAAUAUUGGUCAAUGGACGAGAGUCUGAACCAGCCAAGUAGCGUGCAGGAAGACGGCCCUAUGGGUUGUAAACUGCUUUUAUAAGGGAAUAAAGUGAGUCUCGUGAGACUUUUUGCAUGUACCUUAUGAAUAAGGACCGGCUAAUUCCGUGCCAGCAGCCGCGGUAAUACGGAAGGUCCGGGCGUUAUCCGGAUUUAUUGGGUUUAAAGGGAGCGUAGGCCGGAGAUUAAGCGUGUUGUGAAAUGUAGAUGCUCAACAUCUGAACUGCAGCGCGAACUGGUUUCCUUGAGUACGCACAAAGUGGGCGGAAUUCGUGGUGUAGCGGUGAAAUGCUUAGAUAUCACGAAGAACUCCGAUUGCGAAGGCAGCUCACUGGAGCGCAACUGACGCUGAAGC
This 400-nucleotide ribosomal RNA is filed under the name uncultured bacterium. Its description in RNAcentral is "bacterial SSU rRNA". It matches the Rfam family "Bacterial small subunit ribosomal RNA", at positions 355 to 752 of the family's 1533-position model. The record is from RNAcentral.